GGGGACGACCGGUAUUGACAGCGGGUUGAGGUUGCAGGUGUAAGCAUGCCGGGAGUUGGAAGGAUCUCCUGUCAAAAAUUCUUCUAAACAAUAGCUGGCAAUUAUAGCUACGCUAUGGCUGCUUAAUCCGGAGUGAUUAAUCAUUAGCCAUCGUUCCGCCGGACCGUCACCUUACCGGGCCGGAGCACGGAGCGUCGAAAAGGUAGGGUCGGAUGAGUGGAUUCCGCUAGACUCGUCUCGUACCUGCGGAUACGGAACAGGAUCGGUUUGUUGCCGACCUGUCUUAUUCCCGACAACCGAAAGGCAACUAAGCAUGUAGAAGACUUGUGGCGUCCCUGUUCUGGACGAGGGUUCGAAUCCCUCCGUCUCCACAA
RNAcentral lists this transfer-messenger RNA (374 nucleotides) under Siphonobacter aquaeclarae. Its description in RNAcentral is "Standard tmRNA". It matches the Rfam family "transfer-messenger RNA". Rfam says of the family: Bacterial tmRNA, also known as 10Sa RNA or SsrA, is named for its dual tRNA and mRNA-like properties. Its role is to liberate the mRNA from a stalled ribosome. To accomplish this part of the tmRNA is used as a reading frame that ends in a translation stop signal. Lineage: Bacteria; Pseudomonadati; Bacteroidota; Cytophagia; Cytophagales; Cytophagaceae. The record is from RNAcentral.